GGCAGUAGAGACCCACCGACGCUGCUGUCUCGGUCUGACUCGCGGGAGAGCUGCCCUGGAGGAGACGCUGAGGCUGACCUAGGGUUACCUUCCUGUCAGCGGACUUCCUGCUGGUUGGCAGACUCACCCAUGAAUCCCAGAAAGAAUGAGUGGAGGUCUUGCAACUGUGACGAAUGCUGUUAACUGAGGGCCUCGGGCUGCAGCAGAAGUACAAGUUCUUACAAUGGAAGAACUUGGAGAAACCACAGAAGAAACACUAAUAAAAGAGUAGAGAUGAAUGGAAAUGUGACAUGGAAACCAAACCUUGCAGUAAGAGAUGGUCAGAUGACAUUGAAAAAGAAAUGAGAGGAUGCAAGACAGCCACUCUCUAGAAGUACUGCUUAUUCAAUAGUCUGAAUAAUGUGGAGGAACACGAAAUAGUAAAAAUGUGUUACAGCUGAGAGUCUUACAAUGUAAGCGAAUGUGAAUUAAGUGCUAAAUACAUAAAAUAAAUAUGAGACUAGUGGCACCUUCUGUAACUCACAUCACUGCGGGAGCUUUUAAGAGCUGCUAAUAAAAUAA
Talpa occidentalis (Iberian mole) is the source of this 561-nucleotide long non-coding RNA. RefSeq lists it as uncharacterized. Lineage: Eukaryota; Metazoa; Chordata; Mammalia; Eulipotyphla; Talpidae. The record is from RefSeq and is a predicted model, not a curated record. The transcript is spliced from 3 exons.